AAGUAUCUGAAGGAGACUUUUACAGCUUCAAUGUCACUGAUGGAGGAGUUUAUUACUGUGUGGCCACCAAUCAGCUUGGUGAUCAAACAUCCUCAGAGGUCCAUUUGACUAUAGGAGGUGACGUUAAUUAUCCACUAUUGGGUGCAGUUCUUGGAGGAAUCAUUGGGAUCAUCGUGCUCAUUGGCCUGGUUGUCUUUGUUUGGCGUUUGAAGUCUCCACAUCUAACUGCACAUCAGAGUCAGAAUCACACCGUUGAAGAGACAGUGACAACAGAAGAAGGAGACGUCCACUAUGGAGAGAUUAACUUCUCGAGGCUCGGACCUGGACCGUCCUCGGUCUUGGAGCAGAACGGUGGACAGCAGGAGGACACGCUGUAUGCGCAGGUCAGGCACGCGCACAGAUAGACCCCUAAUAGUGCUGAAGCACCUGCCCUUUUGCCCUGCUGGAGCCCAAUUUUUUCUUCAUUUAUCAAUAUUUAAGAAUAAGAAUUACUCUCUCUGUCAUCAACCCCCCCAAAUGUGUUUGAUAUUUGACGUGGCAUUUAUUUGAGUUAUCGUGGAAAUUUCGCUCACAAGCUCUGGAAAAAAAGAUGCUUUUUACAAAUAUAACACGCUUCAUCUGUCAGUUUAUGUGGAAAAGGAAUCCUGAGAAAAUGUAACGAAUGCAACACAUCCAAUACAAAAUCCUUCUCCUCACUCACAAAGCCCUCCAUAAUCAGGCCCCCUACUUCACCGACCUGCUCCACCAUCACCUUCACCACCACCAAACAUGGGGUGACAGAGCCUUCUCCAUCGCUGCCCCCUCCCUCUGCAACACUCUCCCCAAACUCAAAACACAAAUCAAAACCCACCUCUUCGGAAUGUAAUGUAAUUUAAUGUAUGAGUAUGUGUUGUGUGUGCGUUUUCUCUUUGCUGGGUUUUAUUAUUUAUUAUUAUUAUCUUCACCGUUCACAGCCCAGGUAGUUUUAGCAAUCAUUUUAUACUUUAGACACACUGAGGUUUGUGUUUAUCAAAUUAGUACAAACAAAAGUCCCACAGCUCUAAAUAGAGCAGUAUUCUAAAGACAGUGCUGUUCAUAUAUCAUCAUGUGCUAUUAUUAGAUUUUAAAUGUUUUUAUGUUUAUCGUAUGUGAUGUAAUAUCAGUAGUAUUCAUUAUUAUCCACUUUGUGUUUGUGCCACCUCAGUUUUUUCUCACAUCAGAAACAUUUAGAUCCAGGUUUCUAGGCUACAGGAUCAUAUCAGAUGUGCUGUUUUGUAUUAAUAAAAAUUAAAGAACUUUAAAGUGG
Gasterosteus aculeatus aculeatus (three-spined stickleback) is the source of this 1285-nucleotide non-coding RNA. NCBI's taxonomy places the organism in Eukaryota, Metazoa, Chordata, Actinopteri, Perciformes, Gasterosteidae. The record is from RefSeq and is a predicted model, not a curated record.